Non-coding RNA from Rattus norvegicus (Norway rat), 1411 nucleotides. The record is from RefSeq and is a predicted model, not a curated record. Lineage: Eukaryota; Metazoa; Chordata; Mammalia; Rodentia; Muridae.
ACUUCCAGAAUCUUGCGGGCCCAGCUACAGUUCUCUGACGGCCAUUGGGCAUCUCUGGUUUCAUUCAUUUUGUGGUGCUGGCGUUCACCCUGAGCCUGCCCACCAUAGCAAGGCUUCAUCCGCACGCUGGUAGUAGCAUCUUCCCAGACAGCCCUCCUAUACCGAGAUGCUAACAGGACCUUAACCAUCUGAGCUGUAAGCAGCAGUCACCUCAUGCUCCCUCCCACGCAUUGCCUUCUCUGCCACGAUGGACUGUGCCCUCUCAAACCAAGAGCCAGAAUAAAUCUUUGCAGCCCUAAGCGGCUUCCCGUCAGGUGCCCGAUAACAGCAGCUUCUGAGGCAUGGGUGACCUCAGGAUGGACACUGAAAAUGGGAGCUCAAUCCUCUGACGAUGCAGGGACAGUGAUGUCUGAGCUGUAUCCAGGGGGGCUGCUGAAUUAAGCAACUCUGUUACAAAUUGUCACCUAAGUGAGUUUGGGGAACAUUUGUCUGCCCUGCAUUCAUCCUGACAACAGCUUGAGUCCAAAACCAUUGGAAAAAUCGUUCACUCACGGGAGAAUCGUCAGUGAACCUUUAUACAAAUGUGUCUUUGGAGCUAUGGGAAAAACACUGAAACUAUGGAGUAAGAUCUGAGGGAGGAAAGCAUGAACGUGGAGUCGGCCGGGAAUGGCGUCUGGUGGUUCUUCUUCCUGCACACUGGUCCGUCAUGCAUCGGAACCGCCUGUGCAGUUCUUGCAUGAGCAGCUCUCCAGCCUGGACUGAUGGUGAUGGGCCAGAGAGAACAACAAGGAAGCCAGGGGACGACCUUGAACUGAACGGUACCAGGUCAGGUCAGAGACAGCCAGACACUACCCGGACAGCGGCAACAUUGUUGCCCCACAAUAUUGUCUGUCUCCAAAGAUGCUUUUCAGACAAAUUCAGGAGGUGUGUAUGUGACUUUAAGGAAAUGAGGACAGGAGGCUCACAUGUGCCACUAUUUACCUCUGUGUGGAUAGAUCUUGCUCUGUGACUAGAGCAGCAGCUCUCAACCUGUGAAUCACAGCCUCUUCGGCAAACCUCUAUCUCCAAAGAUACCUACAUUAUGUUUCAUAACAGUAGCAAAAUACAGUUAUUAAGUAGAAAAUGCCUGUGUGGUUGGGGGUCACCACAUCAUGAGGAACUGUAUCUAAGGAUCUCAGCAACAAAGUUGAGAGCCACUGGACUAGAGGGUGACCUCCCAGUCACAGAGCAAACUAGAGCCAGGGCUUCACAGAAGCCCUAAUGGAGUUUAUAAAUGCUGCUUUUAUUGUAAUUGAUCCAUCCCUUGGUUGGGGUGAUGAAAUGCAAAUGCAGAGAUUCCAAACACCUGGUUCCAGCUGAGAAGAUGUUUUGUUUGUCUGUUUGUCCUCUUAAAGUUAAUGUCUCCAUAAGA